This is a non-coding RNA of Drosophila virilis, 78 nucleotides long. The record is from Rfam. Lineage: Eukaryota; Metazoa; Arthropoda; Insecta; Diptera; Drosophilidae.
CGUCACGCCCGCUGUAAAAUGUAAUCAUCAGAGCGUCCUCUCAACCGCUUGGUGUUACUUCUUACAGUGAGUGCGACG